Unclassified non-coding RNA from Macaca fascicularis (crab-eating macaque), 260 nucleotides. It matches the Rfam family "Metazoan signal recognition particle RNA". Rfam says of the family: The signal recognition particle (SRP) is a universally conserved ribonucleoprotein. It is involved in the co-translational targeting of proteins to membranes. The record is from Ensembl. NCBI's taxonomy places the organism in Eukaryota, Metazoa, Chordata, Mammalia, Primates, Cercopithecidae.
GCUGCCUGUGGCCUCGGCUACUCCGGAGGCUGAGGCGGGAGCAGCGCUUGAGCCCGGGAGCUCUGCGCUGUAUGCGCUGUGCCCAUUACGCGGCGACACCGAGUUCCGCAUCGGUGUGGUGACUUCCCGGGAGCAGGAACCACCAGGUUCCCCAAGGAGGGGGGAACCAAGCAGGGCAAAACUCCUGUGCUGCUCGGUAGUGGGAUCGCGCCUGUGAGUGGCCACUGCCCUCCAGCCUGGGCAAUACAGCGAGAUCCCAU